Molecule: ribosomal RNA, 820 nt
Filed under: uncultured Bacillota bacterium
Lineage: Bacteria; Bacillati; Bacillota
Description: bacterial SSU rRNA
Rfam family: Bacterial small subunit ribosomal RNA
Source: RNAcentral
AAACUUUCCUUCGGGAAAGAUAUAAAGUGGCGCACGGGUGAGUAACACGUAAGUAAUCUACCUUCGAGUGGGGAAUAACGUCCGGAAACGGACGCUAAUACCGCAUAAUGCAGCGGCACCUAAUGGUGACAGUUGUUAAAGGAGCAAUCCGCUUGAAGAGGAGCUUGCGGCAGAUUAGCUAGUUGGUAAGGUAACGGCUUACCAAGGCUACGAUCUGUAACCGGUCUAAGAGGACGGUCGGUCACACUGACACUGAAUAACGGGUCAGACUCCUACGGGAGGCAGCAGUCGGGAAUUUUGGGCAAUGGGCGAAAGCCUGACCCAGCAACGCCGCGUGAAGGAUGAAGUAUUUCGGUAUGUAAACUUCGAAAGAAUGGGAAGAAUCAAUGACGGUACCAUUUAUAAGGUCCGGCUAACUACGUGCCAGCAGCCGCGGUAAUACGUAGGGACCAAGCGUUGUUCGGAUUUACUGGGCGUAAAGGGCGCGUAGGCGGCAAUUCAAGUCAUCUGUGAAAUCUCCGGGCUUAACUCGGAACGGUCAGAUGAUACUGCUUUGCUAGAGUGCGGAAGGGGCAAUCGGAAUUCUUGGUGUAGCGGUGAAAUGCGUAGAUAUCAAGAGGAACACCUGAGGUGAAGACGGGUUGCUGGGCCGACACUGACGCUGAGGCGCGAAAGCCAGGGGAGCAAACGGGAUUAGAUACCCCGGUAGUCCUGGCCCUAAACGAUGAAUACUUGGUGUCUGGAGUUAUUAGUGCUCCGGGUGCCGUCGCUAACGUUUUUAGUAUUCCGCCUGGGGAGUACGCUCGCAAGAGUGAAACUC